RNAcentral lists this unclassified non-coding RNA (1437 nucleotides) under uncultured Neocallimastigales. RNAcentral describes it as "partial contains small subunit ribosomal RNA, internal transcribed spacer 1, 5.8S ribosomal RNA, internal transcribed spacer 2, and large subunit ribosomal RNA". The stretch from base 660 to 1437 matches the Rfam family "Eukaryotic large subunit ribosomal RNA", at positions 1 to 628 of the family's 3401-position model. Lineage: Eukaryota; Fungi; Neocallimastigomycota; Neocallimastigomycetes; Neocallimastigales. The record is from RNAcentral.
UUCCGUAGGUGAACCUGCGGAAGGAUCAUUAAAAAAUUGGACUCCAUUGGUGAGUUCAUUAAUAAUCCCUACCCUUUGUGAAUUUGUUUGUUUGAAUAAUUUUUUUUCCAAAAAAAAUUAUUGAAUGUCUUUCCUUGUUUUGGUGGAGCUUGUAAAGUGAAACCAGGCAGGGGAAUGGCAAACAAUAAUUAUUUUUGAAAAGACCUUUUUUUAAAAUUAAACUUUUUGUAUUCAUUUGUCUAAAAUUAAUUUUUAUAAUAUAAAAACAACUUUUGACAAUGGAUCUCUUGGUUCUCGCAACGAUGAAGAACGCAGCAAAAUGCGAUAAGUAGUGUGAAUUGCAGAAUACGUGAAUCAUCGAAUCUUCGAACGCAUAUUGCACUUUUUUAGUUUACUAAAAAAGUAUGUCUGUUUGAGUAUCAGUAAAAUAUUCUCAUAAAAAACAUUGUUUUUUUUAUGGUUAUGAGUGUUUUACAACGAUAACAAGUUGUUUCACUUUAAAUUCUUUGUUAUCAAAAAAAUCAUUAAAAGCUAAUUUUAAAGAUUUUUUAAAAUUGGAUAAAAUUUUCCCGUAAAAAGGAAUAACCUAAACAAUUUUAAAAAAUUAAAAUUGGUUUGAUUUUUUUUGAAACCCAAAGGAAAAAAAAACGAAAUUAACUUGAUCUCAAAUCAGAUAAGAGUACCCGCUGAACUUAAGCAUAUCAAUAAGCGGAGGAAAAGAAACUAACUAGGAUUCCCUCAGUAACGGCGAGUGAAGCGGGAAGAGCUCAAAUUUGAAAUCUUCAAGGUUUUACCUUGACGAAUUGUAGUUUAAAGAAGUGUUUUCUGUUGGAGUUUUGGUAAAAGUUCUUUGGAAAAGGACAUCAUAGAGGGUGAGAAUCCCGUAUUUGACCAUUAUCUCCAGCUUUGUGAUACACUUUCAAAGAGUCGGAUUGUUUGGGAAUGCAGUCCAAAAUGGGUGGUAAAUUUCAUCUAAAGCUAAAUACUGGCGAGAGACCGAUAGCGAACAAGUACUGUGAGGGAAAGAUGAAAAGAACUUUGAAAAGAGAGUUAAACAGUACGUGAAAUUGUCAAAAGGGAAGCGUUUGACACCAGUGUUGUUUUCUCGAAAAUCAAUUAAAAAAGGCCGGAUUUUGUGUUGUAUUGACUUUAUCAGCUUUCUGCACUCUUUUCUUGUCUUUUUUAAUGCACUUUUCGUUUAACAAGUCAACAUCAAUUUCUUUUGUUGUAAAAGGGUCAUUGGAAGGUGGCUUUCUUUUCGGAGAAAGUGUUUAUAGCCUUUGGCCUCUGCAAUCGGAGAGAUUGAGGUCUGCAGCGUAGAUCCUUCGGGGUUAGAUACAUUUGUGCUAAGUUAUAGCCUUUCAUAGACAACUUGUUGACUAUGAUCAGUCAUGUAGCUUACUCGCUUAUGCUAUUUUACCUACGCUUAGGAUGUUG